This 74-nucleotide transfer RNA is filed under the name Equisetum arvense (field horsetail). RNAcentral's name for it is "tRNA-Trp". It matches the Rfam family "tRNA". From Rfam's summary of the family: Transfer RNA (tRNA) molecules are approximately 80 nucleotides in length. RNAcentral also lists the same sequence under 6 other names. The record is from RNAcentral. Lineage: Eukaryota; Viridiplantae; Streptophyta; Polypodiopsida; Equisetales; Equisetaceae.
GCGCUCUUAGUUCAGACUGGUAGAACGCAGGUCUCCAAAACCUGAUGUCGUAGGUUCAAAUCCUACAGGGCGUG